UACGAAGGGGGCUAGCGUUGCUCGGAUUGACUGGGCGUAAAGGGCGCGUAGGCGGUUCGUACAGUCAGACGUGAAAUUCCUGGGCUCAACCUGGGGGCUGCGUUUGAUACGUGCGGACUUGAGUGCGAAAGAGGGUCGUGGAAUUCCCAGUGUAGAGGUGAAAUUCGUAGAUAUUGGGAAGAACACCGGUGGCGAAGGCGGCGACCUGGUCCGAUACUGACGCUGAGGCGCGAAAGCGUGGGGAGCAAACAGG
RNAcentral lists this ribosomal RNA (253 nucleotides) under uncultured bacterium. RNAcentral's name for it is "partial 16S ribosomal RNA". It matches the Rfam family "Bacterial small subunit ribosomal RNA", at positions 524 to 776 of the family's 1533-position model. The record is from RNAcentral.